RNAcentral lists this ribosomal RNA (254 nucleotides) under uncultured bacterium. RNAcentral describes it as "partial 16S ribosomal RNA". It matches the Rfam family "Bacterial small subunit ribosomal RNA", at positions 524 to 776 of the family's 1533-position model. The record is from RNAcentral.
UACGUAGGGUGCAAGCGUUAAUCGGAAUUACUGGGCGUAAAGCGUGCGCAGGCGGCUAUGCAAGUCAGAUGUGAAAUCCCCGGGCUCAACCUGGGAACUGCAUUUGUGACUGCAUGGCUAGAGUACGGUAGAGGGGGAUGGAAUUCCGCGUGUAGCAGUGAAAUGCGUAGAUAUGCGGAGGAACACCGAUGGCGAAGGCAAGAGACUGGUCCAUUUCCUGACGCUGAAACACGAAAGCGUGGGUCGCGAAUGGG